This 495-nucleotide ribosomal RNA is filed under the name Streptococcus parasanguinis. RNAcentral describes it as "bacterial SSU rRNA". It matches the Rfam family "Bacterial small subunit ribosomal RNA", at positions 28 to 505 of the family's 1533-position model. The record is from RNAcentral. Lineage: Bacteria; Bacillati; Bacillota; Bacilli; Lactobacillales; Streptococcaceae.
GAUGAACGCUGGCGGCGUGCCUAAUACAUGCAAGUAGAACGCUGAAGCUUGGUGCUUGCACCGAGCGGAUGAGUUGCGAACGGGUGAGUAACGCGUAGGUAACCUGCCUCUUAGCGGGGGAUAACUAUUGGAAACGAUAGCUAAUACCGCAUAAAAGUCGAUAUCGCAUGAUAUUGAUUUGAAAGGUGCAAAUGCAUCACUAAGAGAUGGACCUGCGUUGUAUUAGCUAGUUGGUGAGGUAACGGCUCACCAAGGCGACGAUACAUAGCCGACCUGAGAGGGUGAUCGGCCACACUGGGACUGAGACACGGCCCAGACUCCUACGGGAGGCAGCAGUAGGGAAUCUUCGGCAAUGGGGGCAACCCUGACCGAGCAACGCCGCGUGAGUGAAGAAGGUUUUCGGAUCGUAAAGCUCUGUUGUAAGAGAAGAACGAGUGUGAGAGUGGAAAGUUCACACUGUGACGGUAACUUACCAGAAAGGGACGGCUACUACCA